RNAcentral lists this small RNA (177 nucleotides) under Gopherus agassizii (Agassiz's desert tortoise). RNAcentral's name for it is "TUC338 (ENSGAGG00000013205.1)". Lineage: Eukaryota; Metazoa; Chordata; Testudines; Testudinidae. The record is from RNAcentral.
UUGAUACCCUUGAACGCUGAGGUCUUCUGUUUUUCCACAGAACAGAUACUGAACAGAAAUUGACAGUGGGAGCUUUCCCACCCUGCCCCACCAAUAUGCCUUAAACUUUACCUUGUGUGGUCACUUCUGGAAAAGAGUGGGUACUCCCAUUUCCUGCUGACUCAGUCCUUGACUUCU